CAGACAUCGUAGGUUAGUUUCUUGACUGGCUGAUAGAAGCGCUAAAGCGAGGAGCAAAAAUAAACGUGGCCGCGGAAUCGAAUGUGCUGAGGUUUUCCCCAUACACCUCUCAGUCAUCAUAAUCAUCGACUGCGGCCCGGCCGACCAAAAUCCAGCAUG
This is a long non-coding RNA of Nasonia vitripennis (jewel wasp), 159 nucleotides long. RefSeq lists it as uncharacterized. The record is from RefSeq and is a predicted model, not a curated record. The transcript is spliced from 2 exons. NCBI's taxonomy places the organism in Eukaryota, Metazoa, Arthropoda, Insecta, Hymenoptera, Pteromalidae.